UGACUAGCCUGUAAACGCGGCACUUUUUCAAACUGUCGCCUGGGAUGUAUUCUUCAUUUACAUCGAUGAGAUACAGGUUCUUUUGAGUACCGCUGCCACCAUGUUUCAAUAUGCUUUGUGUUGUAGUCAUGACAGACAAAGAUAUAUAGUUAAGCAAACUUUACUAGGCAUGUUGUCGACCAGCACAUUAAUAAAGUAAGUAACAACCGGUUUCCGUUUCCUGUGUAACAUCAAUAUGAGUAACAUCAAUAUUGCUACAUCUGUAAUAGAAUACAAGUGUUAAAAAAACAAAUAUAGACAUUAAUAAAUGCAUUUCUGUCGCUUCCAAAAUAUUUUUUACAAUGGUGGGUGAGUGCCAAGAUGGAGGCACAGUGGCUUCAACACAACAAGCCUAUCAGUCCUCUAGUGUAUAUAUAAAUCGUUGGGUGAAACAUCUGGUUCAUUGUUCUAUCCGUGUUGUUAAUGCACAGAUUAUCCACUAUAUAGUCUACCACAGUAAGAGUCAUAAUAGUCAUAAUACCCAUAAAACCUAUCGUUCAAACAUGUAAACGGUUUCAAUAAUUUUUCCACCAUUCUUUUUCCCAUAGGGGAUUUUAGAACCACUUCACAUGUAUGUCAUCUAGGCUUACCCUGGCGUGAUGUUUUGCUAAUCGUGUAAAUCUCUCUCGGACAAGGUCACUUAUCAAUAUCAUACAGAACUACACAUCCUGUCGCAAGCUUUGGCAUCAUCACUCAAGCCAGCGUUUCAGAGUAGGAAAAACAUCCACAUUUCUCCAUGUAAAUUCAUAUCGACAAGUAGCAAGUAACCUAGCAAGUAAAGUAAAAUAGAAUAAGUAGUAGAUAUUAAAGCUUUUUUGUAGUUUCUCAAUUAUAUAAUUGACAUUGUGUAUUUAUCGUGUGUAUUGUUGUUCAGCAUUUUUCAAAUUACCUACCUUAGCAUUUUUUUAUUACUAGUGUAACAGUGUAGGUUCCGUCCCUCUCUUCGCCCCAACCCGGGCUCGAACCAGGGACCCUUGCACACAUCAACAACUGACACCCCACGAAGCAUCGUUACUCAUCGCGCCACAAAAGCUGCGGCCCCCUGAUUGAAACGCUAUUAGCGCGCACCACCGCUAACUAACUAGCCAUUUCACAUCGGUUACACUAGGAUUUGUUUAAUUACCCUGGCCUAUAAAGCUAGCUAGCUAACCUUAGGUAUCUCUGUCGAUCAGAAGCAAGGAUGAUUCUGUGCUAUGUACCGGAUUUUAUCCACUACUCUGAUAAGCACACAUGCAUUUUAUCGUUUUCCAACCUCUGUAAGCGAGAAGCGUCGCUGGAGCCGUGUGAUAUGGUAAGCCCUGUUUUUUAGCUUAUAACAAACUAUUUUGGGUAAUAAGACAAAGAUCUGUGGUUAGCUAGGUGCUAAUGAAAAUUAGCUAAGUUAGAUAACCACCGACUGUAAAGUGUAUAAGGCAUUUUACCUUCCUUACAAGUGUAACAGUUUAGCUUCCGUCCCUCUCCUCGCCCCUACCUGGGUUCUAACCAGGGACCCUCUGCACACAUCAACAACAGCCACCCUCGAAGCAUCAUUACCCAUCGCUCCACAAAAGCCGCGGCUCUUGCAGAGCAAGGGGAACAACUACUUCAAGGUCUCAGAGCGAGUGACGUCACCGAUUGAAACGCUAUUAGCGCGCACCCCGCUAUCUAGCUAGCCAUUUCACAUCAGUUACACAAGUAAAAAGAAAACAAGCAUAAGCUAGCAUAAUGACUGUUGUGACCUUUUAUUAUUGUCCUUUGUGAGCUAGCCAGCUAGUUAACCUUAGCUCAUAAUUCGUGUAGUCAUACUUUUCAACGUGGUGACAUGCAAGCUAACGUUAGCCCACCAGGGCAGGGAUAUUUGGCUAUCUAGCUAGUUAACGUUAACUCACCGUUCAUGUAGUCAAGACUUUUCCAAGUGGUGACAUGCUAGUUAACGUUAGCACGGACCAGGGCAAGGAUAGUUAACUAGCCUGUCACCACAUAGUAAUGUCUGACUACAUGAACGGUGAGCUAAUGUUAACUAGCUAGCUAGCUAAAUAUCACCUGGUGGGUUAACGUAAACUCACUCACUUUUGUACACCGCCUUGGUCCGUACAAUUGACCUUAUUUUAUCGCCCCAAAAACGUAAUACUUCCAGAUCAACUGUAAUAUCAAUACCAUUGUAAAGUACAAUUUCUCCCCUUUCCAACAAAAUUAAUGACAUGAGAUCCACGCUGCCCGUUUCUGCAUAAUUCAAGAAGGCAAUGAACUCCUUCGGGUCUUUUUAAAAAUGGUGGGUGGGGAAGCGAAACUAAUGCGUGAUAGCGAGAAGGCGAGAUGUAUGGGAAACCUGCUUUUUUUCACUCGAUCUUAUCACCUUAUCGCCUCUAAAAUGUAAAUAAAAAACUAUUAAGAGUUUAUAUAAUGUGUCAUUACAUACCUAUUUGAAGGUUUGUGUCGAAUUUGAAUCGGGUUUUUAGGGCGGUGCUAAAGUGAUCUUCAGAAGUAAACAGCGGCUUUGAGAGUCAUGAUCGCUUACAGUGAUGACGCAAAAAAUGACUAGGUAUCCCCCUUACCCCCGUCACUGUCCAUUUCUUGUUUUUAAACGAUGAGAGAAGUGCUACACCUGGUGGAGAGAGAUUGUAAGACAGAAAUAGUUGCUUUAUGCGUGCUGUACGUUACGAUGUAAUGGAGGGUCAGAUUUUUCUACUUUUCUCCAAUACUAUAGAGCAAUUACCAUGUCGAUCAACGCUUGAAUAGAAACGUAGUUCACACCCCAGAUGUUGAAGUCAACACAGUCGCUACAGUCCCAGUAGCCUCAUUUGAAUGUCGCGGUUGCGCACAUUUGUACGGAAUGGGGUGAGUUUACGUUAGUUAGUUAGGCACAUUGGUUGGCUACCUAGCUACAUUAUCUAACGUUACACCGUAUCUCACCGUCGUGUAGUCAGACUUUCCUGACAGGCGGUGACAUGCUAGCAGGUGUGCCAAACUUGAGCAAUUAGCGCUAGCUAACAUUAAAUAUCCCUGCCCUGGUGGACUAGCUAGCAUGUUAAAACAAAACUUAGGGUCUGGGGAAAAGUCUGACUACAUGAACGAUGUGCUAACGUAGCUAGCUAGCUAAUGUUAAAUAUCCAUGCUCUGGUGGGCUAACUACAUGUCACCAUGUGGAAAACAAUACAAAUUGUGAGCUAACGUUAACUAGUUAGCUAAUUAAAUAUUUAUGAAUUUGUGGAUAUAGCUGUUCAGUAUGUUUGUGUAUGGUUCUCAUGAUUUAGGGUCGGGUGUUGAGGGACCACUUGUCACGUUGUCCAAGCCCAACAGGAGAGCAUCCCUCAAGCCAUCUGGUACAUGGACAUUGUGUGCCAGUAUGAUCCGAGCGCAAGAGUCCAGUUGUAGUCUACAGCAGAUUGAGCAUGUGGAAGGACAGAUCAGUAACUCAUCAAAUGAGAAACAUUAUUGUGUAAAACAUUGAAUUUGUAGAUUUUGAGAUUUGUCUCCCUUUUUUCCCGUUUUAGACAUUUGAUUUUUGUAUUUUUUUUCCCCCUUAUUUUACCAGGUAAGUUGACUGAGAACACAUGAGGCGUGACACACGGAACAUCUUCAGGCUCCCUCCAUGAGAAGCAUUGCAUGAUGUUCAAAGCCACCCCCGGCAAGGAUAUCUGUUGGAAAUGAUGGCUCUCCCAUCUUUAGAUGUACUCUAUACAACUCUGUGUCCUAUCCAUCCAGCUCUACUUACUUCUUAUUAGGAGUUCAAUGAAAACAUUGAACUUCCAGGUGUAGCAUGGUUCAUUCUGAGUUGUGUACUUUUAAUGAGGACACUGCCACAACUGGAAGUCUGCUGGUUGGAUUAUUUUAAUGAGGACACUGCCACAACUGGAGGUCUGCUGGUUGGAUUAUUUUAAUGAGGACACUGCCACAACUGGAGGUCUGCUGGUUGGAUUCUUUUAAUUAGGACACUGCCACACCUGGAGGUCUGCUGGUUGGAUUCUUUUAAUUAGGACACUGCCACAACUGGAGGUCUGCUGGUUGGAUUAUUUUAAUGAGGACACUGCCACAACUGGAGGUCUGCUGGUUGGAUUAUUUUAAUGAGGACACUGCCACAACUGGAGGUCUGCUGGUUGGAUUCUUUUAAUUAGGACACUGCCACACCUGGAGGUCUGCUGGUUGGAUUCUUUUAAUUAGGACACUGCCACAACUGGAGGUCUGCUGGUUGGAUUAUUUUAAUGAGGACACUGCCACAACUGGAGGUCUGCUGGUUGGAUUCUUUUAAUGAGGACACUGCCACAACUGGAGGUCUGUUGGUUGGAUUCUUUUAAUGAGGACACUGCCACAACUGGAGGUCUGCUGGUUGGAUUCUUUUAAUGAGGACACUGCCACAACUGGAGGUCUGUUGGUUGGAUUCUUUUAAUGAGGACACUGCCACAACUGGAGGUCUGUUGGUUGGAUUAUUUUUAUUUGCCCUGCACACGAAGAAACAACACACAAUAUUUUAGCCCUUGGCGCAGUCACAGCUCUCAGGCACCUGCGCAAGCACAUGGACACUCACUCAAACACUGUCCCAAGUACUCACAAGUUACAAUAGGUACCCUAGUUAGCGAGCUCGGUGAAACUUGUUACCAUAAAUCUUUAUAUUUUCCACAUUGUAACAAACGUAUGGUAGCGUAACAGCACAUUGUGUAACAUUACCACGGUUUUAUAUUGAACAAUAGCGGAGCCAAGGACAACAUACCUCGCUAAGCCGAAGGUCAGGCAAAAGAGAACAAUAAGGAGGUACGGAAAUACAGAUAACCCUCGAUGGGCCAAACCAAAAUAUACAAAACUUUUACAAUCACUUGUAUGUACAAUAUUGAUAUGAAAAACUGUUUGUACACCAAAAAAUAACAUUAGCUAUGCAGCUGUAAUUAAAUAUAAAAAAACACACAGAAUUAUUUUUAUUAUUAUCAAAUGAUUAACAUCCCCUCUUGACCUGGCCUAUUUGAAUUGGUCCUUGUGUGCAACUUGGUGCAUAAUCUAGGGGAACAACAUCACACUGCUACACAGGCACCUCCACCAUGGCACAGUUCCAGAAUGUUCUCACUGAGGUGCAUCUUGUGGGCUCAAUGUUUUUCCCAUACAAACCACAGAAACGGUUUUGUUCCACGAAUGCAUCUGUUGUACAUGACUAAUCAAAUUACCUGUGACGUCAGUUAGACACGUCAGUCCCUUUCAGAUGAUUCCUCAACCACUGUUGCUCCUCCUUGGUGAUUUUACGGCUCAGAGUGUUUUAACUUUGCUCUUGAGAAUUUUUAUCAUAAGUACAGUCGUAUAGCUCAUUGCAAGACUUCACCUCUUUUGGACAAAUAGUACCCUUGACUGUCCUGAUCAUCUAGUUAAGCAUUCCAGAUAAAUCCUCCAUCCCAGCAGGAAUGUCCCAUCCACAUAAUGAUAUAUGAUUUUCCAGCUCAGCAUUCUUAGGUGUUAUUCUGUGUUCUAUGAAAAUGGAGUGAGUCAACUCAUUGUCCAGUGAGUGAGGCUUGCCUACAUAGUGCUUAGUUAGUAGCCUAGUUGUGGUUCACUUCCACUAGAAGGUCCUUGUUAUUCCCACCAGGUGUUUCUUCAGGCUGUUGGGGAUUGCCUCAACAUUUUUCCCACACAAACCACAAAAACAGUUUUGCUCCACUGAGUGCAUCUGUUGAACAGGAUUUUUUCACCUGACUUUGAAAAUACAAAUGGGAAGGAUCAUACAAAUCAAGACUAUGAAUGCAUUUAGCUCUAUGACAGUGGUUCCCAACCAGAGGUACUAGGAUCCCUGAAGGUACUUGGCCUAUCCACAGGGGGUACUUAAGAAGACUCAUGAGGCCAUAGCCCUACUGGUAAAAUGCAUAUGAGGGGGUACCCUGGGCAGAGCAGAAUUCAGUUGGUCGUACAGUACAGUAACCGAAAAAGGUUGGGAACUACUGCUCUAUGACAGAGCACUCCUAAAAAGUAAAUACUGUGUAUUGGUAGAUUUGUCUCUGGAUGUCUAAAUAAUAAAUUCAAACAUUUCUGAAUGUGAAUAUAUGUCAA
This is a long non-coding RNA of Salmo salar (Atlantic salmon), 6042 nucleotides long. RefSeq lists it as uncharacterized. Lineage: Eukaryota; Metazoa; Chordata; Actinopteri; Salmoniformes; Salmonidae. The record is from RefSeq and is a predicted model, not a curated record.